GAAACGAAACUUCUUGGCCAAAAUCUCGUAUUAUUCGUUUGUAUGUUGUGUGUCAAUGUUCAUAUUUUCUAGUACUUUUAAUUUGCUACACCAUUUCAAAAUGAGGCAGGCAUUUGUGUUCACUCUAGUAAUUGUUUUAAUAUCUCAAUUCAAUAGGGACCAGGCAACGGAGUUGCUGAUUGAAUCAGCUGAGAGUCGAUUGUUGGACCUGAGAGUUGCUGGCUCCACUGACGUACAUAAUUCUUCGGAUGGUCCUCAUGAAAUCUGCAAACAACUACAUCAAGAUGGAUUUCAACUUUCAAUGAAUGCGAAUGGACCAAGCAUAAAAUCUUUAUGCGAUGGAUUUAAGAACAAGCAAGAAGGCAAGUGUAUAGUUGGCAGAUGCGAGUGCCCAGAAGAACGGCAAUUCUGCACAAACAACGCAGAUUCGAAGAAAAAAUUUCAGAAGCCCAUUAUUUAUAAUGAUCCUACAGAGCAAUUCGGAAAGACCAUGAAAGUACCUACAAAGAAAAGCAGCGCGUAUGAAAGUAACUCAGAACGUGAAAAAUCUGACUGGGUAAAAGAUGAGUAUAAAAGAUGGGCAAGAGAAACAUUUUGGUGUAUAUUGUUGCUUUUAUAUAUAAUCACUACAGCUAUUGGCGUCUUCGUUUAUUAUCCACACGAUUGGACUUCGCAGAUUCUCUUCUUUAUUGCGAAUCUUAUUCCUUUGAUAAGUUGUGAAACUGAAUACUACGAAUAUGCUGCUUUCCGCAUUGUUUUAAAAGCAAACAUUCUAUUCUGCAUGCUACAACUACUUUUCAUACUUUACUCUUUUCUGUGUUUGCAUCGCGAGAAAAUUGCGCAAAAACUACACCAUUAUCAUGAAGUCCUUCUUAUACUGGAACAACUAGAACAUGAAGCACCUCAACCCGACAACCGUACUCUAGUACCUCGAACCCCACACACAGGACGAAAACUUUUUCAUUAUGGCAUCGAUCAAUAGAGGUUAUUCAGGACGUUUCGAAGCACUAAAAAUUCAAUUUUCAAAAUGGGAACCAAUAGUUGAAUGCUUCUGUAGAUUGUGGAUUAUUACUAUGAUCCGUUCAGCUAUUGUCUUGCUCUAUGCUCAUACAGUCUUUGAUGUGGAUGUACUUCGAUUCGUUUUUGUGCACUGUGUUUUCUUGACAGCGUUUAAUUGUAGUUACGUAAAAUAUGGUUUCCCAAAAGUAAUUUUAACACUGGACUUAGUAUUAAGUAUAUUUGGUGCAUGGUCCAUAAUGGAUUUUAUAAGAAUAGUAGUGUACGCCCGUCAGCACGAUUGGUACGCAGUAAUGUAUGUGCCUUUCCCUUAUGUACAUCUAGAAAGAAGAUAAGGGUAAAUCAGAACCUGAAAUUCUUGCUGGAAAAGAUGAUUUUGAUGCUGCUUUUAUCACCCGAUUUCAAGCAUACCUUGAUCGCUCAUUUAUCGUAUGGGUUUCUAUCAUGCUAGUUACAGCUAUUUUGAUUGCUCUUUUUGGUAGAAAGGAUUGGGCGGCUUUAUUUAUGUUUAUUGUUGUAAAUGGCUUUUGCUUCUUAUAUUUUAAUUAUUAUUACUACUUAUAUGGAAUUCCAGAAAUGAUUUCUUGGGUGGAUAUAACAGUAGUAAUUCUACUAUUUGUUUUCGUUAUAUGUCCCUUUGUGUGUGGGGUGUAUCGCAUACUUACAACAGAUCCGCGCCAUAAUCAUGCGAUUUAUCAACCUGAACCACUAUUCUAUUCACCAGUUCAACCCCGUCACGGUCAUGAACCGCGACCUCGACGAAGAAGGCAUCUUUAGAGGUAAAUUCAGAUUUGUUCUCGCUAAUCAUAGACGAAACGAAACCUUUUCUUAAAAAAUGGGAGACACCAGCAAAAGUUUUCUGUUACACGUGGUCUAUUAGUUUAAUAGUUUUAGGGUUGUUCAUUUUCUUUGGCAACCCACGCUAUCCGUUUAUGAAAAGUCUAUUCUUUUUCGGCAAUGGCUCUAAUUUGCUAUUUCUUAAUUUUCUUUUUCACGAAUGUGGGGUUGUACAUUAUCUUAUUACCGUGAAUAUAACAUACAGUGUUUUCAUCGGAAUUUUUAUUUUCCAAAGUUGUGCUACUUUGAUAUUCGUAUUACUCAGGCGAAAUGAGCAACGUCAGCAUCAGCGUCAGCCUCAGCAAUAUCAACGUGUUCCUCCAGAACCUUUAGGGCGAGAAGUUUUUAGACGAAGAAGACGCCAUUAGAUAUAGCUCAAAUUUGGUCAAUGUUAAAACUAGACGAUCAUUUGAAAUGAAAUGAAUGAAUGAAUGUUUCUGUUGCCUUAUCGUCUGUUUGCCAGAAGCGUCUGCACUAUCGUUAAUGUUGAAUGGGUUCCACAUAAAGUGUCAUUUGUCUUGAUCGCUUGUCCAUUUUUGUGUUUCAGCUUCUGUAACAAUAGAGAGAAUUUGAUGUAAAUUCGCUAACUCCAUACUAAAUUAUAUUGUAUGUUAAUUCAUUUGAAUUGAGUCUGACUACAUAUGUAAGGGUACUUAAUACUUUUAGAUCGCUACAUAUUUUAUUAUUUAUUAGUCUUGCUUUCGCGAAAAACUAUUGAUCCCGUAUUUGAGACGUAAACGGAAUCAAUAGAAUUCAAAUUGCUGCUGGAUUACUUGAAUAAAAAAAGCGAGAUAUUUUUACAAAUUUGGCAAAUGUGCCAUAACAAGACAGUUACACUUUUCUGUCGAUUUCAUAAUAUUGAGAAAACAACAGUACCUACGGCUAUUUGAUGACAAUGCAAAUCAUAGACUUUUCAAAUUUAAUUGAGCUAGCGUAUUCUAGUACUGUGGCUCUGUGCAGCGGUCGUUUUUGUACUUCUUUGGUUAAGCUACAAGUUCAUUCCAAAUUUGCCCAUUUGGUCUGUGCCAAAAAUAUACAAAGUGUUCAUCAUAAGCAUAUCUGAAAUUGUUCAACAUCGGCUACUAUUCUUGUAUACAUACUUGCGAACUAGUCAGCAGCUUGGUGUAUUGCUAGCGUUUUAUAUUUCUGUUUUUUCAUUAUUGACUGCAAUAGUAUAUUUAUUUGCCUUAUAUAACUCAUAACGUCAGACAAUAUCAAAUCAUUCUUAGCAAAAAAGUUUUUAUAUUUAAGUGUUUGUCAUGAUUUUCCAUCAGUUUAAUAGCUCCUUCUAAGGUUUACAGUUUUUUCAUAUUACCUACUGUUGUUUGUUAUAUAAUUGAAAGAAUGUAAAUGCGGAGUUAUUGUGUUUGAAAAUAUAUUUUACUUCUAUUA
Dendroctonus ponderosae (mountain pine beetle) is the source of this 3246-nucleotide RNA transcript. RefSeq lists it as uncharacterized. The record is from RefSeq and is a predicted model, not a curated record. NCBI's taxonomy places the organism in Eukaryota, Metazoa, Arthropoda, Insecta, Coleoptera, Curculionidae. The transcript has 8 exons.